RNAcentral lists this ribosomal RNA (253 nucleotides) under uncultured bacterium. Its description in RNAcentral is "partial 16S ribosomal RNA". It matches the Rfam family "Bacterial small subunit ribosomal RNA", at positions 524 to 776 of the family's 1533-position model. The record is from RNAcentral.
UACGGAGGGUGCAAGCGUUAAUCGGAAUUACUGGGCGUAAAGCGCACGCAGGUGGCUGAGUCAGUCGAUUGUGAAAGCCCUGGGCUUAACCUGGGAAUUGCAGUCGAUACUACUCAGCUAGAGUAUGGGAGAGGGUAGUGGAAUUCCCGGUGUAGCGGUGAAAUGCGCAGAUAUCAGGAGGAACACCGGUGGCGAAGGCGGGUCUCUGGGCCGAUACUGACGCUGAGGGGCGAAAGCGUGGGGAGCGAACAGG